This 3125-nucleotide long non-coding RNA is filed under the name Gossypium raimondii (Peruvian cotton). Its description in RNAcentral is "long non-coding RNA (GRAI_LNC005714)". Lineage: Eukaryota; Viridiplantae; Streptophyta; Magnoliopsida; Malvales; Malvaceae. The record is from RNAcentral.
CUCUCCGCUUUGUUUUCUUUAUUAUUAUAUUUCUAUUCUAGAAUUUUAUAUUCCAUUUAAAUUCUUCACUUUCACGCUAUAAAUCCUCUCUCCGUUUCUCUCCCUUUCCCCUUCCUCUCUCUCUUUUCUCUCUGCCACAGAUUCCUUCGCUGAUACCGGUAAGCUUUCCCUCUUCCGAUUUCCACAAAAACGUUGUCGUUUUCUUCUCUGGUCUUUUUUUUUUUGCUCUGAAUUUCAUGCUCUGUGGAAACUCGAGACCUGGAAAACGAUGUUGUUUGACUGGUUUUUUUUGCGAGUUUCGAUAAUCGUAUUUAGAAGAAGACGAAAAGAUGUCGGUGCCAUGAUGUUAUCUCGUUUCUCUUGAGUUGAAACUCGAGUCAGUACUGAGUUUGUCUGAGCUCAAAUUUUUCGCUGCUUAAUUUUGAGAUCUUAAUGAUGUAUUUUGUUGUUGUUGUUCUGAAUCAAAACGAAAAUGAUCCGAGUUGAAGCGAGUCAUUAUUGCGAUUUUGCUUUGAGAAUUUUAAAACAUAUUCUGCUCUUUUUUUUCUACUUUGAUUUCAAAAUUUCGUCUCCUCGAACUCGAAUCAUCUCUUAUUUUGAAUCCAAACAGAGUUGUUUCGAGUCUGAUCCGAGUCAAAGCGCGUCACAACCCGAUUUAGUUUCGACUUCACCUUCUUCUUUUUUUAAAAUUUAUAUCUUCAUAUUUAUUCUAAAUUCGGAUAUUUUGCAAAAUGAAAAAAAAAAACUAAUCAUUUCAUUUGGAUCAUAUUGCUGAUUAGUUUGAUAAUUACUAUGCGCAGAUUAAGGUUUGGUGGCUAAGUGAGGAAGGAAAAUGAACACGCAACUUUUGGAGAUUGAGCCAAAGGAACUUAAAUUCGUAUGUGAGUACAUAAUUACUUGAUUGCCCCUGCUCUUUUUGCUGCAUAAAGUAUUUUUAUAAUAAAUUAGAUAAAGUAACUUUUCAUUCUUUAAUCUUUUCUAUUAUAAGAAAAUAUUCUCUGUUAUAUAGAAUUAUUUUCUUUGUUUGGUCACUAAAUACGCGGAUGGAACAAGGAGGAGUUGUUUAAACCUGUUUGUUUUAACGCUUCUUUUUCUGAAAAAUAAAAUAUAAAAUAUGGUAGUAAGCAAAAUUCGUGCUUAACUGACUUAUUUCUUUGAAUCUAGCAUAUUAGAUCUGAAUAUUAAUGAUUAUAAUAUUUUUGCGCCCUCAUUCUGCGACCUUAUUGUGAAAAAGAUGCAAAAAAGAAUUAAGGCUUCUUUUCUUUUUUGUAGCAGUUAUGUAUAUUUUUGUGGGUUUGUGGAAAAAACCGGAGGGGUUAAUAUAUUCAUAAUUUUUUAUCUCCGAUAUUUAUUUAUUUCUGAUUUAAAUUUAUUUUUUGUUUGGUAGUUAUAUUGAAGAAGCAAAGCUCCUGCUCGAUUACGCUUACAAAUAAAACUAACCAGUAUGUUGCUUUCAAGGUUUGAACUCUUAUCCUUUAAAAAAAAAAUUGAAAUUUGUAAGGUUUAUUUCGUGGGAUAGAAUAUUUUAGAAUGCUGGAUUCCAAUGUAAUUGAAGCAAUGAUAUCUGUGCAGGUUAAAACUACAUCUCCGAAGAAAUACUGCGUACGGCCUAAUGUUGGCAUUAUUAUGCCAAAAUCAGCUUGUGAUUUUACAGGUAAGGAGUUUCUGUACUUUAAUUUAUUUUAUGAUUCAUGCUACGUUCACGUAACAAAUGAAUGUGAAAGCUUAAGCGGCUUUUAACCUAAUAAUGGCUCACGACUAAUGAUGUAAGUAUAUUAAGAUCAAGUUAUCAUUACAAGUUAUGGGGUCACUUGGCUGAGGGACCCUAGAUGUUUUUAAUUAUUUUGCCAUCUGAGAAAGGCAAGAUUGGGAUUUGAUAAGGGUUUACUUUUUCAGCUUUUCAUGUGCUUUAAAUUCCCGGGCAUUUCCUCUGUAUUAGCCAGUUGCUUUUCAGUUUGAUAAUUCAUGAUUAAUUUGCUGAGAUUGCAAAUCCUAUGAGGCAACAAAAAGUAAAAAAAAUUACACACUUUUGACAAAUGAUAAUCUGAUAAUCUUCACCUUUAGGACAAUCUGCCAUUUGAUGUCCCACUAGUUGGACAAUAAAAGCUAGAGCUGCUACUUACAUAUAAAAUACAGUCCUGAAUUUCUCAUAUGAUGUUCUUUAUCAAAUUUCUACCCUGUCCUAUACUAUAUAUAUUCUAACCAUUGUUCUUUUUUUCUUUUAGUUACCAUGCAAGCUCAGCGGGAAGCCCCUCCUGAUAUGAUAUGUAGAGAUAAGUUCUUAAUCCAAAGCACAGUUGUCCCAGUAGGAACAACUGAUGAAGACAUUACAUCUGCCACAGUAAGUGAUUUUCUGCCCUGCUUGUGCUUUAUUUGAUAAUAUUAAUUAGUUAGUGACUUUCGCUCAUUGUGUGCUUGACAGUUUGUCAAGGACAGUGGAAAAUAUAUUGAAGAGAACAAGCUUAAGGUUGCCCUUGUCAGCCCUCCAGAUUCGCCAGUGCUAUCACCAAUUAAUGGGACAAUGAAUCAGGGAAUGGAUUAUGAUAGAGUUGAGACUUUUGCAACACUUCCAACGGUUAGAUCAACUUCAUCUAUUUUUGUAGCCCUUAAAAUUCAAUCUACUUCAACUCACUUAUAUAAUUAGUAUUCUUUAUAAUCUGAAAGGAAUUUUUUGUUUGAAUAUGAGAUUUAAAAACAAACUUCCAAGUAUAUUAAUGAAGCUUAUACAUUUAAGAAAAUUACAGUGUUCUCUUCUCUGUGUCAGGUUUUGACGAUUGAGGAAUCAAAGAUGAGAAAUACUGAGGAUUUAAAGCCAACAAAGGAUGUAGAGUGGAAUUCAAGGAAAGAUACGUUAUAUGAGGAGAAAUUAAAACCAAAGAAGGGUGCAGAGCUGAAGCCCAUGAAUGAUAUUUUUGGUGACAAUUUAAAUAUAAUAAAGGACACUGAACCGAAGCCAAAGAAGGAUGCAGAGCUGAAGCCCAUGAAUGAUAUUUUUGGUGACAAUUUAAAUAUAAUAAAAGACACUGAACUGAAGCCAAAGAAUAAUUCUUUCAAUAGCAAGGAGUUAAAGCCGGUGAAAGAUGAGGAAUCAAAGCCAAUGGAGGAUAUUCUUGAUACCGAGGAAU